UACGGAGGGAGCAAGCGUUACUCGGAAUUAUUGGGCGUAAAGGGCGCGUAGGCGAUUCAGUAAGUCUUAUGUGAAAGCCCAGAGCUUAACUCUGGAAGUGCACGAGAUACUGCUGAAAUUGAGUUCCGGAGAGGAAGGCAGAAUUCCCGGUGUAGCGGUGAAAUGCGUAGAUAUCGGGAGGAAUACCAGUGGCGAAGGCGGCCUUCUGGACGGAUACUGACGCUGAGGCGCGAAAGCCAGGGGAGCAAACGGG
RNAcentral lists this ribosomal RNA (253 nucleotides) under uncultured bacterium. RNAcentral describes it as "partial 16S ribosomal RNA". It matches the Rfam family "Bacterial small subunit ribosomal RNA", at positions 524 to 776 of the family's 1533-position model. The record is from RNAcentral.